GGUGUUGUAAUGGGUUAGUGGUAUCGCGUCAGGUUCCCAACCUGAAGGUCGCGGUUCGAUCCCCGCUGAUGCCG
This 74-nucleotide transfer RNA is filed under the name Pythium insidiosum. Its description in RNAcentral is "tRNA-Gly". The record is from RNAcentral. Lineage: Eukaryota; Oomycota; Peronosporomycetes; Pythiales; Pythiaceae.